GGGAGUCACGUGACCAAGUUUGGCGCCCGGCAUGUGCGAGCUCCGGGAGUCACGUGACCAAGUUUGUUUAUGACGCCAUUUUGGCAGGAAACAGCGAGCUGCCUGGUAGCCGAGAAUGGAUGGAAGCUGUCAACUUUCAGAAAGCGAUGCACAUCGAUACACCACAAAACUUCACAGACUGCAAAUCAGUCAUCCACAUUUAUCUCCUGGUGUGCUUUUUAAAACAGUUGAUCAGGUGGCGGGGGGGCGGGACUCCCGAAUGUGCAGCGUCCCGACAUAAACAACUACCUAAUCAACUUUCCGUCGCACUACACUGGAGAUUCACUGAAGGCUACAAAAGUCUAGAGGGAUAUAAAUGGAUUCAGUCGGGAUUUGUGACCAAGAUUCUACUGUGGAGUUUAGCACAACGGGAUUGGUUUGUUGUUACAGUAAAGUUUUUUCCCUCCAUCUGAGGUUAGCUGAAGACCACGGGGGUGGGGGGUGUUCUUCACCUCUAGAGGGAGUACCGAGUUCCUGAGAACCGGACUGAGUGGUGGGAGCAGAGCUGCGUCAAAGCAGCCAAAGUGACGCAAAGUCACGCCGGAAGUAAGAGGAGAGCACUUUUAAAGUAAAGGUGGAACUUCAGAUGAACUGAUGCAACAUGCUGAAACAGUCACAACAAAUAACCUAAAACCAAACACCUUAUCUGGAUAUUUUUCUGUGUCUCUCAGAUGUAGUGUCCGGUGGUUAUUAGAAAAAAUAAUAAUAAUUACAAUAAAUAUAAUAGUUGUGCUCUAUGUCUAUUUAGCCUUCAUUUUUUAAAUAAAUAUGGAGAAAUAACCAUUUUAUUCAAAAUUCAUAUAAAAUUACCAACAUUUUCAACCUAUUUCAAAUAAAAAAAAUCAAUCCAAACAA
Long non-coding RNA from Austrofundulus limnaeus, 894 nucleotides. RefSeq lists it as uncharacterized. The transcript is spliced from 2 exons. The record is from RefSeq and is a predicted model, not a curated record. Lineage: Eukaryota; Metazoa; Chordata; Actinopteri; Cyprinodontiformes; Rivulidae.